This 253-nucleotide ribosomal RNA is filed under the name uncultured bacterium. RNAcentral describes it as "partial 16S ribosomal RNA". It matches the Rfam family "Bacterial small subunit ribosomal RNA", at positions 524 to 776 of the family's 1533-position model. The record is from RNAcentral.
UACGUAGGGGGCAAGCGUUAUCCGGAUUCACUGGGUGUAAAGGGAGCGUAGACGGCCAUGCAAGCCUGGAGUGAAAGCCCGGGGCCCAACCCCGGGGCUGCUCUGGGAACUGUGCGGCUGGAGUGCGGGAGGGGCAGGCGGAAUUCCUGGUGUAGCGGUGAAAUGCGUAGAUAUCAGGAGGAACACCGGCGGCGAAGGCGGCCUGCUGGACCGCGACUGACGUUGAGGCUCGAAAGCGUGGGGAGCAAACAGG